GUGCAGCAGUCGAGAAUAUUCCACAAUGGGCGAAAGCCUGAUGGAGCGACACCGCGUGUGAGAUGAAGGCCCUAGGGUCGUAAAUCGCUUUUAUUAGGGAUCAAUGUACUGAGCGUACCUAAUGAAUAAGAGGUUACUAACUCUGUGCCAGCAGUAGCGGUAAUACAGAGACCUCAAGCGUUAUCCGGGUUUAUUGGGCGUAAAGCGUAUGUAGGCGGGUGUGUUAGUCGUGGGUCAAAUUUCAGGAGCUUAACUCUGAAGCUGCUUACGAAACGGCACAUCUAGAGAAAGUGAGAGAUGACUGGGAACUCAUGGUGUAGUAGUGAAAUGCGUUGAUAUC
This 340-nucleotide ribosomal RNA is filed under the name uncultured microorganism. Its description in RNAcentral is "bacterial SSU rRNA". It matches the Rfam family "Bacterial small subunit ribosomal RNA", at positions 346 to 698 of the family's 1533-position model. The record is from RNAcentral.